CUAUUCCGCAUGACACUGCGGAAUUGCUUCGGCAAUUGCGGCAACGCUUGUCGGUCUGCGGGGCACGAUCACUCGCGCUGCUUCACGUCAGUGGAGUUUUUAAAGAUUUCGCGUGUUCGUCAAUUGAUGGCGGCAGAAUUCGACGACCGCACUGAAAUCGAUUUAUCACAAGCGUCAAGAAAAGUGCUGUCGCGACCGAGUCGAAUAGCAGUGAUCGAAAUUCGAGUAGAAAUGCGUGUUUGAUCGAAGCCUGAGGGAGAACGAGGAGACGAGGGAGCAACUGGAGACCGGAAAACACUCCCGAGUCUACGAGAUGAAAACGGAUGCAACAGGCAACGCCUACAAGGGGACAUGGAUAUCCGUCGAGAAGGGUAACAAGAUCAAAAGCACAAGCGAAGGCUGACAAGCCGAUAUAAGGUAAGAUCGUUGGAUCAGGUUACUCGCCAAGGUGAGCAUUUCGCCAACCACAUCGACACGUUCCUCAAAAUUAAGCAAAAGGCAAGCGACUGGCCUGCCGAAUGCGAGAACGAGCCGGUUCGAAAACGGUACCUUAAUUGACGAGUACGAACCGUUAGAGGGUGUACGACUGGAUCGCGAUCGUAUUCCAGAGGCGUAUUCCCGGUACGCGGUCAACGCCUAAAUCAUGUCUGAACUCAUUCUAGCUAGGACAUGUUCGGCCAUGCGAAAAAAUCUAGUGAAAAACAGAGGUGGUCAAGACGCGACAGCAGCUGCUCGAAAUCUUGGCCAACCCUGAAGUCGAGGAGUCCGGUUUGCCACACGUGCAAUGGAGCGUUGAAACGUCAGCACUGGAAGACGUCGCGAUUCCCACUGUCCAAGCUCGGCUGAAGCUCUACUCGAACUUCGAGAAGCUCGAUCGUCGCGUUCUCUACUAAGACAGUGAUUCAGUGAUUUAUAUCCGCAACCACCGACGGGUCACUUUCUUGGCGACCUGAUGGACGAGUUGGAGUCUUAGAGCCGCGGGAGUUUUAUGCGAGCUUGCGUCUCGGGAGGACCGAAGUUCUACGCAUUCGUCGUCCAAGGUCCGAAUGGCGAGGAGGUUGAAAUUUUCAAGGUAAAGGGUAUAACGCCGAAUCACACGACGGGUUCGGAAAUCGCCACCCUUCGGUGACCGCACAAGGUGACGAUGAACCCUGUCUCCAAGCAGUUUCACGCUUCCACUACCGUCGUCUCAUCUUGCGGUACAGACACCCGGAUGGAAGUUCACAAGCCACUUGCACGCUCGACCGAAAGACGGAUGGAAAUAUAGAAAGGCAGACAAGGAAACAGACAGAGAGGCCACCGAAGGAAUUCUUCAUAAGCUGCUGUUUUAAUUUCUAAAAUACGUGCAUUCUAGUAUUUAUUUUAAU
Neodiprion fabricii is the source of this 1367-nucleotide long non-coding RNA. RefSeq lists it as uncharacterized. Lineage: Eukaryota; Metazoa; Arthropoda; Insecta; Hymenoptera; Diprionidae. The record is from RefSeq and is a predicted model, not a curated record. The transcript is spliced from 3 exons.